RNAcentral lists this ribosomal RNA (400 nucleotides) under uncultured bacterium. RNAcentral's name for it is "bacterial SSU rRNA". It matches the Rfam family "Bacterial small subunit ribosomal RNA", at positions 355 to 746 of the family's 1533-position model. The record is from RNAcentral.
UGGGGAAUCUUGCGCAAUGGGGGAAACCCUGACGCAGCAACGCCGCGUGGGUGAUGAAGGCCCUCGGGUCGUAAAGCCCUGUCAGGUGGGAAGAAACUUAUGGGUGAUAAUACCAUCCAUGCUUGACGGUACCACCGGAGGAAGCACCGGCUAACUCCGUGCCAGCAGCCGCGGUAAUACGGAGGGUGCAAGCGUUGUUCGGAAUUAUUGGGCGUAAAGCGCGUGCAGGCGGUCGGGUAAGUCAGAUGUGAAAGCCUUCCGCUUAACGGAAGAAGUGCAUUUGAAACUACCCGGCUGGAGUACGGGAGAGGAGAGUGGAAUUCCCGGUGUAGAGGUGAAAUUCGUAGAUAUCGGGAGGAACACCAGUGGCGAAGGCGGCUCUCUGGUCCGAUACUGACGC